Penaeus chinensis is the source of this 797-nucleotide long non-coding RNA. RefSeq lists it as uncharacterized. The transcript is spliced from 3 exons. Lineage: Eukaryota; Metazoa; Arthropoda; Malacostraca; Decapoda; Penaeidae. The record is from RefSeq and is a predicted model, not a curated record.
GAAGAGCCUACGCCUAUCAGUGGGUUUUCAGAAAACCGAAAGUGUCAUCCCGUCUCAGGAACACUGCCAGUAUAUCCACGUGCAAAGCCUCAAAGACAUAAACAAAGAACUUUCCUUAAGCAGCUGUUGAAGCCCAUUUACUGAGGGGGACACAAGUACAAGAUCGUCUGCACAGAUUAUGAGAUUUACAAUUGUCUCAUCGAGUACGCAACCGAGUUCAGAAUCCCGGAUAACCCAUCCAUAUACACCGAGAAGAAAUAUGGUGACAACAGUGACCCAUGCCUAACCCCACAUUAAAUUAUCUGAAGAGUUUUUCUCCUCAUCUGACACUCAUUUUUUGACUGGAGUACCAAAAUUGAAGGAGCUGUAGCACAUACACCGGGAUCCCUCUCUUCCGCAACAUUUCAAAGAGACGAGUACAUACCGGCCUCUAGUCGCUUGGAAAUCAAGGAGGCAAGUGCAAUGGGACGAUAGUUUCUAGAGUUACUGAUGCCACCGUUCUUAUCUUCAAUUAAGGGAGACUAUUUUCAUCAGGUCUUUUGGAAGGAACGAGUGGCUAAAGCAGUAUGUAAACUAUGUACUUAACAUCAAGUGUAAGACAGCAUGCGUCUGGCGGUGAUGAGGGGGCGUGACCCCAUCGUGGACCAGGCUACUCGUCGUGUUCAUGCCCCUUAUGGCUCUGGCCACCUCUUGUUCUGACACGGCAGGAGGGUGCACUAUGUACUCACGUGAGUAUCUCGCCAUGAUGUCUGCACCAUAACUCGCAACUUCCAGCUCCCCCAUUUGCACCAUCAAUA